This 187-nucleotide RNase P RNA is filed under the name Pseudothermotoga sp. Its description in RNAcentral is "partial RNase P RNA component class A". It matches the Rfam family "Bacterial RNase P class A", at positions 1 to 203 of the family's 367-position model. From Rfam's summary of the family: Ribonuclease P (RNase P) is a ubiquitous endoribonuclease, found in archaea, bacteria and eukarya as well as chloroplasts and mitochondria. Lineage: Bacteria; Thermotogati; Thermotogota; Thermotogae; Thermotogales; Thermotogaceae. The record is from RNAcentral.
GGAGAGGGAUGGGUGGUCGCGGGCCUGAUUGGCUCGAGGAAAGUCCGGACUCCACAGGGCAGGGUGCUGGGUAAUACCCAGGAGGAGCGAUCCUCGGAAAGGGCCACAGAAACUUCAAACCGCCCGAAGAGGGCAAGGGUGAAAAGGUGAGGUAAGAGCUCACCAGCAUCGGGGUGACCCGAUGGCU